RNAcentral lists this long non-coding RNA (1485 nucleotides) under Macaca fascicularis (crab-eating macaque). Its description in RNAcentral is "lncRNA (ENSMFAG00000054206.1)". Lineage: Eukaryota; Metazoa; Chordata; Mammalia; Primates; Cercopithecidae. The record is from RNAcentral.
CUUAUGAACUCCAAUUGUUCUCUCUCCAUUUCUUGUAUUUCUAAGAAGACCGACAUAUGAUUUGGGCUGACUUGGACUUCGCAGAUGCCUUUUAUGGUGGAGGAAAUCACAGUCACAAUUGCAACUCUCAUUGUCACAAAGAGAUGACCCAGCACCUCCUAAUUCACCCAAGCCGAAGCCAAAUGCAAACCCUAAGCAACCUGGAUUUAUUGGUAAGUGCUUCUCACUCUAUGGGUUGUCUGUAUAUUGUCCAUAGUAGAGUGGCAUCCACGUCAGCUGGAUGAGAGGCUUUCAGAUGAGCAUGUGCUUGCUAUUAACUCUGUACAGAGUUAUUCCAUUGGGCAGGGAGGGAAGUACACAGUUUUCUGAAAUAGAUAUUUGACUUCAUUUUAUUUUUAGUUUGCUGAUUUUACUUCCAAGAUUGUAUGGAACUUCUAAAACACUGAGCACAAGAUUUUCAUGUGAACUUGGUAUAGAGAAAAUGGCCUGUGCAUUCCCUGUAGAGAAACUUGGGUGUUUUCAAUGUUUUUGCUCUUGAAUAUUUGUAUCAGCUAUUUUGACACUUGAGAGCAUUCUCAGGGUAAUCUGACUAGCAACUGGUUUUUGAAGUGAAUUGUUGUGAAACAUUCAGGGUUUUAGUUUUGUUUUUGUUUUUAAUUUUUAACACAGAAUCAUAAAUAAUGUGCCUGCGCUCUUGGCAUUUUGAUGGUUAUUUGCACUUAUAUUUUAUAUAUCAGUUUAAAUGAAGCAAAUGUUAAGUAAUAAAGCCAGUCUUUUGUUCAUACUGCACUGUAACGUUAUUAUUAUUAUUAUUAUUAUUAUUUGAGAUGGAGUCUCGCUCUGUCACCCAGGUGGGAGUGCAGUGGCACGAUCUCAGCUCACUGCAACCUCUGCCUCCUGGGUUCGAGCAAUUCUCCUGCCUCAGCCUCCUGAGUAACUGGGAUUACAGGCAUGCACCACCAUGCCCAGCUCAUUUUUUUGUGUGUAUUUGUAGUACAGGUGGGGUUUCUCCACGCUGGCCAAGCUGGUCUCAAACUCCUGACCUCAGGUGAUCUGCCCACCUCGGCCUCCCAGAAUUCUGGGAUUACAGGCAUGAGCCACUGCACCCGGCCUAUUUUAUAGUUAUUAAUAGUCACUGAACAUUUGCUCAUGUCAUUUGAUCAUUUAUAUCAUAUGACAUUUACUGUCAAUUAUAUACUAUUCUAUAUAGAUAUAUAAUACAUUAAUUUAUUUAACUAAUCCCUAAUGUCUAAACUAUUGUGUCUUCUGACUUUUUAGAGUUAGGAAUUACAAGGCAAAUUUGAGUCAACUUCAUCUGCUUUUUUUUUUUGAAGAGAUUUCUGGUAUUCAAAUUGUCUAGAUCAAUGUAGAUGAGUCCUUUUCUUUUUUUUUUUUUUUUUUUUUUGAGACGGAGUCUCUCUCUGUCGCCCAGCCCAGGCUGGAGUGCAGUGGCGAUCUUGGCUCACUGCAAGCUCUGCCUCCCGG